RNAcentral lists this ribosomal RNA (424 nucleotides) under uncultured cyanobacterium. RNAcentral describes it as "bacterial SSU rRNA". It matches the Rfam family "Bacterial small subunit ribosomal RNA", at positions 356 to 795 of the family's 1533-position model. The record is from RNAcentral. Lineage: Bacteria; Bacillati; Cyanobacteriota.
GGGGAAUUUUCCGCAAUGGGCGAAAGCCUGACGGAGCAACGCCGCGUGAGGGAUGAAGGCCUCUGGGCUGUAAACCUCUUUUCUCAAGGAAGAAGAUCUGACGGUACUUGAGGAAUAAGCCACGGCUAAUUCCGUGCCAGCAGCCGCGGUAAUACGGGAGUGGCAAGCGUUAUCCGGAAUUAUUGGGCGUAAAGCGUCCGCAGGCGGUCCAGAAAGUCUGCUGUUAAAAAGUGGAGCUCAACUCCAUCAUGGCANUGGAAACUNCUGGACUAGAGUGUGGUAGGGGCAGAGGGAAUUCCCGGUGUAGCGGUGAAAUGCGUAGAUAUCGGGAAGAACACCAGUGGCGAAGGCGCUCUGCUGGGCCAUAACUGACGCUCAUGGACGAAAGCCAGGGGAGCGAAAGGGAUUAGAUACCCCUGUAGUC